RNAcentral lists this small RNA (608 nucleotides) under pig gut metagenome. The record is from RNAcentral.
UAGUAAAUACGGUGGUGCAGUAUUCUAGUCAGUGAUGCCGCUUCUGAAAACGGGCCUAAAAAUCCGUUAAGGGCACAUCGAUGAAGUUUCUGGUGUUUGCUUUCGACGCCCAGUCGGGGGUUGAUGCUGGGAGUUAAGGGGGCCGGGCGAUCCGCAAUGGCAUGCGGGCGUUGACCCGUCCCUCGUGGAGACCUAAACGGGUGGUCAACCCAUUGACUACUCCUUAGGAUAAAACCUGUAAUGCGGGAUUGACUGUGUACAGAGUAGCCUGCCGUGCGUGGUGUCGGUGGAUUUCGGAACACGCUCCAAACGUUUGGCCAAACGCGAGGCGCGAUUGCCGGAUGAAACCCAUGCUGCAAAAGCGGCUAGGAACCGGCAAAGCUGUUGAGGAAAGCUCCUAGACUGUUACUGCUUCAAGCAUUGGUUCUUGAGCGAGUUGGCAUAUUGAGGAUUACGGUGUGGCCUAAGUGGCGAUCCAGUUCCGGGUAUGGCGACAUACCGGCAGAGGUCAUAAAGGGAAACCGCUCCUUCGGCGACGGGGAGUGACCUCCGGGGAAAUCCUACUGGACCUAAGCUGCAAAGUCUACUCAAUAUGCCACCACCAGUUU